GACAGACAGACAGAAGGGAAGGCUCAAAUGUGGCACAGGUACAGAGACCUCAGGCAAGAAGAACACUUAUUUCCCGCUGAUGUUUCAAGGGUGAAAAACAACUCCCAUCUGCUGAGCCAUCUGAAAACAUCCAGCUCCUCUCCACUACGACGCUACAUGGCAGCUUCAUGGUAUGCCAAGCUGCAGGCGGAGAAUGUAGCUCCGAGGCAACAGCUGAGCUUUCGUGGGCAUCCGGGGUGAAUCAAUGUUGAACCUCUUCUCGUUCUCCAGGGCAAGACUGCCCUUCAAAAAAGGGUCCAUAACAAAUUCUGUUUCUCUGCUGGCUACCCCCACCACAAGUCUUGGAACACCCUGACCACAAAGACCAUGGCUGCCACCUGCCAUCGACUGAAAGGAUAUUUGCAAUGUUAAAACCUUAGCAAAAAAA
This is a long non-coding RNA of Syngnathus acus (greater pipefish), 427 nucleotides long. RefSeq lists it as uncharacterized. The transcript is spliced from 2 exons. Lineage: Eukaryota; Metazoa; Chordata; Actinopteri; Syngnathiformes; Syngnathidae. The record is from RefSeq and is a predicted model, not a curated record.